This 70-nucleotide transfer RNA is filed under the name Leptobrachium leishanense (Leishan spiny toad). RNAcentral's name for it is "tRNA-Pro". It matches the Rfam family "tRNA". From Rfam's summary of the family: Transfer RNA (tRNA) molecules are approximately 80 nucleotides in length. Lineage: Eukaryota; Metazoa; Chordata; Amphibia; Anura; Megophryidae. The record is from RNAcentral.
CAGAGUUUAAUUUAACAAGAAUAUUAGCUUUGGGGGCUAAUUGUGGGGGUUUGAUUCCCCUAACUCUGAC